ACAUUCGUGGUUCAGUGGUAGAAUUCUCGCCUCCAACGCGCGAGGCCCGGGUUCAAUUCCCGGUAAAUGCU
Molecule: non-coding RNA, 71 nt
Organism: Oncorhynchus mykiss (rainbow trout)
Lineage: Eukaryota; Metazoa; Chordata; Actinopteri; Salmoniformes; Salmonidae
Source: the annotation of a RefSeq genome assembly